RNAcentral lists this long non-coding RNA (446 nucleotides) under Homo sapiens (human). RNAcentral describes it as "non-protein coding lnc-KCTD18-2:1". The record is from RNAcentral. Lineage: Eukaryota; Metazoa; Chordata; Mammalia; Primates; Hominidae.
ACGCUCUGCUAUUUGCAGAUUAGCUCAACUGAUGAAGUAUUCUAAAGUCACUUAUUUUGUGUGUGUGCUAAAAGUUUCUUCCAAAUAUUAGGGAGGGAGAACAUUCUUUGAUUUAAUGAUUUCAGUGUCCACAUCAUUCCCAUCACCAUUUAUUAAAUAGGGGAUCCUUUCCCCGUUUCCACAAGAGAGCUUCUUAGAGCUCCGCUGCCCCAGGAGGGCCACACAGAUGGCUGACAGUAGACUUGCACACCUGGAUGAGGAGAACACAGUGUGCAUGAACUGAAGACAAGACUUGUUUCAUUAAAGCCAAGAUGAAGGGGUGGCCAUGCCCGAGAACUCAGCAAUUGAUUAGACACCUUAGCAGGUGCCAGCAUAAGGCAGAGGGGAGCUGCCAAUGAGACCCCUCUCUAUUUUCCCCCCACCACUGCUAUGUUAGCCCCUGGGGA